GGGCACAUGGUAUAGUUGGUUAUCACAUCCGCUUAGCAAGGACUUCUUUGACCAGACGCUGCUUGCAGGGGGUGCUGGGUUCAAUUCCCAGUCUGCACA
Molecule: non-coding RNA, 99 nt
Organism: Paramarasmius palmivorus
Lineage: Eukaryota; Fungi; Basidiomycota; Agaricomycetes; Agaricales; Marasmiaceae
Source: the annotation of a GenBank genome assembly